CCCUUAGAUGUUCUGGGCUGCACGCGCGCUACACUGAUGCGCUCAACGAGUUUACGACCUUGCCCGGAAGGGUUGGGUAAUCUUUUUAAAACGCAUCGUGAUGGGGAUAGAUUAUUGCAAUUAUUAAUCUUUAACGAGGAAUUCCUAGUAAGCACAAGUCAUCAGCUUGUGUUGAUUACGUCCCUGCCCUUUGUACACGCCGCCCGUCGCUCCUACCGAUUGAAUGUUCCGGUGAGCUCUUCGGACUGCGCGGUCUGCAGUUUCUGCGUUCCGUGCGGAAAGUUGCGCAAACCUUAACAUUUAGAGGAAGGAGAAGUCGUAACA
This 324-nucleotide ribosomal RNA is filed under the name uncultured eukaryote. Its description in RNAcentral is "partial 18S ribosomal RNA". It matches the Rfam family "Eukaryotic small subunit ribosomal RNA", at positions 1470 to 1796 of the family's 1831-position model. The record is from RNAcentral.